UACGAACUGUGCGAACGUUAUUCGGAAUCACUGGGCUUACCGGGUGCGUAGGCGGCUCAACAAGUCAGGUGUGAAAGCCCCCGGCUCAACCGGGGAACUGCGCUUGAAACUGUUAGGCUCGAGUCAGCUAGAGGUACACGGAACUUCCAGUGGAGCGGUGAAAUGUGUUGAUAUUGGAAGGAACACCGGAGGCGAAAGCGGUGUACUGGGGCUGGUCUGACGCUGAGGCACGAAAGCCAGGGGAGCGAACGGG
This 253-nucleotide ribosomal RNA is filed under the name uncultured bacterium. RNAcentral's name for it is "partial 16S ribosomal RNA". It matches the Rfam family "Bacterial small subunit ribosomal RNA", at positions 524 to 776 of the family's 1533-position model. The record is from RNAcentral.